UAGAGCCUUUUAGACUCCAAACCAGUGUGAAACUACCUUCUGAAAGUGUCGUCUCGGCGGGUUGCCGUGCUGGAAGUCCUCUGUGGCGUCCAGUAUCGGCGUGCCCUGCCUGGCCAGCUAGGCGCCCGCCGGCAGCACCAAACUCUCUCUUUGUUAGCGGGAUCUUACCAUCCCAUCUGAGUGGUACUACAAGAAAACAAGCA
Molecule: unclassified non-coding RNA, 203 nt
Filed under: soil metagenome
Description: partial internal transcribed spacer 1
Source: RNAcentral